GAUGAAGAACGCAGCGAAAUGCGAUAAGUAGUGUGAAUUGCAGAAUUCAGUGAAUCAUCGAAUCUUUGAACGCACAUUGCGCCCCUUGGUAUUCCAUGGGGCAUGCCUGUUCGAGCGUCAUUUGUACCUUCAAGCUUUGCUUGGUGUUGGGUGUUUGUCUCGCCUCCGCGUGUAGACUCGCCUCAAAACAAUUGGCAGCCGGCGUAUUGAUUUCGGAGCGCAGUACAUCUCGCGCUUUGCACUCACAACGACGACGUCCAAAAGUACAUUUUUACACUCUUGACCUCGGAUCAGGUAGGGAUACCCGCUGAACUUAAGCAUAUCAAUAAGCGGAGG
RNAcentral lists this unclassified non-coding RNA (336 nucleotides) under soil metagenome. RNAcentral describes it as "partial contains 5.8S ribosomal RNA, internal transcribed spacer 2, and large subunit ribosomal RNA". The stretch from base 1 to 120 matches the Rfam family "5.8S ribosomal RNA", at positions 35 to 154 of the family's 154-position model. The record is from RNAcentral.